GCCUGGCUGGCUCAGUCAGUAGAGCAUGUGACUCUUGAUCUUGGGGUUGUGAGUUCAAGCCCCAUGUUGGGUG
This 73-nucleotide transfer RNA is filed under the name Felis catus (domestic cat). It matches the Rfam family "tRNA". Rfam says of the family: Transfer RNA (tRNA) molecules are approximately 80 nucleotides in length. Their secondary structure includes four short double-helical elements and three loops (D, anti-codon, and T loops). Further hydrogen bonds mediate the characteristic L-shaped molecular structure. tRNAs have two regions of fundamental functional importance: the anti-codon, which is responsible for specific mRNA codon recognition, and the 3' end, to which the tRNAs corresponding amino acid is attached (by aminoacyl-tRNA synthetases). tRNAs cope with the degeneracy of the genetic code in two manners: having more than one tRNA (with a specific anti-codon) for a particular amino acid; and 'wobble' base-pairing, i.e. permitting non-standard base-pairing at the 3rd anti-codon position. The record is from Rfam by way of RNAcentral. RNAcentral also lists the same sequence under 5 other names. Lineage: Eukaryota; Metazoa; Chordata; Mammalia; Carnivora; Felidae.